This 534-nucleotide long non-coding RNA is filed under the name Phascolarctos cinereus (koala). Its description in RNAcentral is "lncRNA (ENSPCIG00000032813.1)". The record is from RNAcentral. Lineage: Eukaryota; Metazoa; Chordata; Mammalia; Diprotodontia; Phascolarctidae.
CUGCCACCUCAGUGUUCUUGGACUACUUAGCCCCACUCCCCGGGGCUGGGCUGGACUAAAAUCAAUAUGUUCCUGCCCUGUGAGACCUAGAAAGCCGAUGAGUUUUUCCUGACCACUGCCCUCUGUGGGCCUUGUCAGCUUGUACCAAUCCCUGAGGCACUUACUCAGCCUUUUGGCACAAGUCAGAACUACAUUUGUAAUUGCCUAUUGAUUUUAUUCUUGGAGUUUGUAACAGAAGAAUCGGAGUGUAUCCAAAGCAGCACCAGGUGGGGCAGAGGACGUUGGCUCCCACACUUGCGGACACGCCAUUUCAAAAGGGCAGGCGGUUGAUGAUCUCUUGGCUGCUUCAGAGCUCUCAGGCUUGUUGGCUUCACUUCAACUCCAGGGAGGACCAGAGAGGCAAAUAAUAAAGGCAACAAGGACAUGGGACACAAAGAAGUUUCUUUUAUGUAUAUUUUCCAUAUGGAUAGCAAUGUUUCCCUAGAGUAGCCCAGACACAUCAGAAAAAUAAAAAGUCAGUCCAAUGAGAAAGCA